GACGUAGGAUGCAAGCGUUGUCCGGAUUCAUUGGGCGUAAAGAGUUCGUAGGCGGUUUGUUAAGUCUGAUGUUAAAUAUUAGGGCCCAACCCUGAAACUGCAUUGGAUACUGGCAGACUGGAGUGCAGUAGAGGCAAGUGGAAUUCCCAGUGUAGCGGUGAAAUGCGUAGAUAUUGGGAAGAACACCGGUGGCGCAGGCGACUUGCUGGGCUGUAACUGACGCUGAGGAACGAAAGCUAGGGGAGCAAAUGGG
Molecule: ribosomal RNA, 253 nt
Filed under: uncultured bacterium
Lineage: Bacteria
Description: partial 16S ribosomal RNA
Rfam family: Bacterial small subunit ribosomal RNA
Source: RNAcentral